AUAAGCAAGCUGGACUGCUGAGUCACUGGACACACAAGUGGACAAUUUCGGUGACCUACAAAUACCACUGAUGGCUCUUGAAUUGUUCAGACAAUUUUUUUCUUGUUUCAAGAUUAAACCCACAGUUGGCUUUCCAGAAUUGUGAUCCAAGUGGCUCCAGUUUUGCAGGAUGUUUUGAUGAUCUUUGAACAGAGUAGGACUUUGGUCCAAAGCUUUUUGAACAAGUUCUGGACCUCAAACUUUUUGAAAGUAAAAUCUCUUCAGACUUUACAUCUGCUUUGUUAAAAAAAAAAAAAAAAAAAAUGGACAUUAGGUGUGCUGGUGCUGAGAAUCAGCUUCUCCAUGUGGACCUCCAUAUUGAUGAGCAUGAACCUCGUAGAGGCAUCCUGGAUCUCCUCAGCAGACUCCGUCCUCUUUGGAAGGCACAGAACAUUCAGAUGAAGAAAUUCACAGAAGGCAUCACCAACCAGCUAAUUGGAUGCUACGUGGCCUCUCUCCAGGAGCCCGGCUGUGUUCUGGUGCGACUGUACGGAAAAAUGACGGAGCUCUACGUGAACAGGGACCUGGAGGUGGAGAUGUUCCAGGUCUUCCACGCCCACGGGUGUGGUCCACAGAUCUACUGCAGCUUCCAGAAUGGCAUAUGCUACGAGUUUGUUAGAGGAACGGUGCUGGAUGAUGCGCUGCUCCGACAACCAUCCAUCUACAGAUUGAUCGCGGCAGAGAUGGGAAGAAUCCACUCUAUCCAGCCAAAAUGUGCUCUGCCUGUUGAACCUCUUCUCUGGACAAAAAUGUCCAACUUUCUCACGCUGGUGCAGAGCAGUAGCCCAGCUAAGCAGCGCUGCACAAAAAGUGCCGUGGCUCUACGAGAGGUGCCCAGCUUUGAGACUUUGUCAGUGGAAAUGGAGUCACUGAAGAGACACCUCUCGCAGAUUGACUCGCCGACUGUCCUCUGCCACAACGACCUUCUCACAAAAAACAUCAUCUACAACCACAAAGAGGAAAUGGUGAAAUUCAUCGACUACGAGUACGCCAAUUACAACUACCAGGCCUUCGAUAUUGGCAAUCACUUCAAUGAAUUUGCUGGUGUGAAAGACGUGAACUACAGCCUGUACCCGAGCCUGGAGCUGCAGAGGGACUGGCUGACGGCCUAUCUGGAGAGUUACAAGCGCAGCACAGGACAUGAGGUCACUGUGACAGAGGCAGAAGUUACGCAGCUCUACAUUCAAGUCUGCAAAUUCUCACUGGCAUCCAACUUCUUCUGGGGUCUUUGGGCCAUCCUGCAAUCACGGUUCUCCUCGAUUGACUUUGACUUCCAAAGAUAUGCAAUGGCACGAUUCAACUUCUACUUUGAGAAGAAAGACGAAUAUUUUGGAUUGACAAUAAUCUAGAAUCGAAGGAUAAAGGACCAGAGUCCAAGAAAAGUGACCAAAGUCCGUCUUUGUCAAUUCAUACAGUACCGUGGAAGGCAUAGAAUUAGCUUAGACACAUUGUUUGUUAUUUCAGGCUGUAGUAUCAGAUAAUAUGUUUUGCUAUCACUGUGAUUUUUUAAAUAUUUGUUUAACCACAGCUAGUAUGCCGAUAAGCCGUUUUGGCAAAUUGAGACGGAGAUCAUGCCAGAAACACAUUAAUUGUUCCCACAUUUAGCAGAGUCGCAUAAAGCCACAAAAAAUGAGGCUGAUCAUAAAACCCAUAAGCGGGUUAUUUGCAUGCUUAUUCAGUGUGUACCACAGCUCUGAUGGAAAACAAGUUUCCAUUUUGUCUUAUUGACUGUACCAAGUAUUGCAUUAUUUUAAAUACUUAUCUUUCCUAAGGACUACUGUUGUAAAGGUGAUUUUUAUAUACCUUACAGGAUGUUCAUGAAUCAAACAGUAUUCUGCAAAUUUCAAAAUACAAUGAAUGCAAAUUCAUCAUUAUUUAAGUGCUAAAACAUCAUGUUUAAAGACAGUGAAUUAGGUUUGGGGAGCAAUAUAUAAAUCAUGUCAAAUUGGUCCUAAUUUUAGUGAAAUGCUCAGAGAGUCAGACAUUUGUUCAAAUUACAAAACGGUUUCAGCUUCCAGAAAUAUUCACUGUAUAAAAGCAUCUUUGCUCACUGACUGAUGGAAAGUGCUGUUACUACGCUUGUCUUUCAUUGCACUUCCAACAGACACUGUUCACAGUGCCAUAGCAAGGCAAACACAACGACGGCUUAUGGAAUAAAUAAUUGCCUACAACUAUGGAGACAUACUGUAUCAUCUGCCCCCUCUUGGAUGCCUGUUGCACGUCAUUAACUUUCCAGUGUUCCAAAUGUUCACCAAAUCAGUGGCCUAAUAAGUGUUUAAAAUUCAGCCCAGUGUAUAAUGUAAUAAUGGACAAUGCACAGUAUAUACACUGUAAUAGUUUUGAUUUAAUGUAUAAAGUCUUACUGAACUAAGAAGAGUUCAAAGGAGGGACCACUACACUGUAAAACGCCAUGCAGAAAUGUGUUACAAUAUCUUUUUCUUUAAUUAAAUAUAUAAGUUGUAUUAAUUUCAA
Perca fluviatilis (European perch) is the source of this 2511-nucleotide RNA transcript. RefSeq lists it as uncharacterized. The record is from RefSeq and is a predicted model, not a curated record. NCBI's taxonomy places the organism in Eukaryota, Metazoa, Chordata, Actinopteri, Perciformes, Percidae. The transcript is spliced from 9 exons.